RNAcentral lists this transfer RNA (65 nucleotides) under Tremoctopus violaceus. Its description in RNAcentral is "tRNA-Ser". The record is from RNAcentral. Lineage: Eukaryota; Metazoa; Mollusca; Cephalopoda; Octopoda; Tremoctopodidae.
AAGUUAUAUUGGAUAAAAGAAAGUUUUGAAAACUUUUAAAAAGUGUUCGAUUCACUUAUAGCUUU